UAGGGAAUUUUCCACAAUGGGGGCAACCCUGAUGGAGCAACGCCGCGUGCAGGAUGAAGGUUUUCGGAUCGUAAACUGCUUUUAUUUGUGACGAUUAUGACAGUAGCAAAUGAAUAAGGGUCGGCUAACUACGUGCCAGCAGCCGCGGUCAUACGUAGGACCCGAGCGUUAUCCGGAAUUAUUGGGCGUAAAGAGUUGCGUAGGUGGUUUGUUAAGUAACUAGUGAAAGCGUGUCGCUCAACGACAUAUACAUUAGUUAAACUGGCAGACUUGAGUGCGAUAGAGGUAUCUGGAAUUCCCAGUGUAGGAGUGAAAUCCGUAGAUAUUGGGAGGAACACCAAUGGCGUAGGCAGGAUACUGGAUCGCAACUGACACUGAGGCACGAAAGCAUGGGGAGCAAACGGG
Molecule: ribosomal RNA, 405 nt
Filed under: uncultured bacterium
Lineage: Bacteria
Description: partial 16S ribosomal RNA
Rfam family: Bacterial small subunit ribosomal RNA
Source: RNAcentral